GGUCUUAAAUUCUCAACAUACACUCACAGCUAUCUGCGGAUUGAGAUGUAGACCUCUCGGCUCCUCCAACCUUGCUUCAUCUAACGCUGCACGUGGCCCAUGUGACCUGUCUACCUUGGCUGCCACGCGCCUAGCCCUGCUGCCGAUCUUCAUUCUUGACAAUCUGCUGGGGGAAGAUAAUGUCUUGUACUUACUUUUAAAUGUGUUCCUCUGGCCACUGGGAUGGUUGAACAUCUUUUCUGAUUCUUCUUCAUCCACCUGCGUCUCAGGAAAUGAGUCUUGGAGGAGCACACUGGCUAAGGCCUCCACAGAGCUCAGCUCACCUCUGCUGAGGCGCCACAGUGAGUGUCAAGCUUCAAGCUGUGAGCUUCACAGAGGGUGUGGCACUAGGAGGUGUGGCCUUGUUCGAGUAGGCCUUCUGGGGGUGUAGCACCUUUAAGAGGUGUGGCCUUGUUGGAGGAAGUAUGUCACUGUGGGGACAGGCUUUGAGAUCUAUGCUCAUGCUACACACAGUGUGUCACACAGUCUCCUGCUGCUGCCUCUGGAUCAAGAUGUAGAACUCUCAGCUCCUCCAGCACCGUGUCUGCCUGCCUGCAAGCUGCCAUGUUUCCGGUAAUGGACGGAACCUCUGAAACUUAAUGCUCUCAGAAACAUUCAGGACGGAGAGAUGGUGCGGUUAUUCACUCUGCACACAUGUUAGCACCUUGAACCCAGGCUUACGUGUGAUGGUAGGCACCAGAGGCGUGAAGGCAAAUCACAUCUCACCCCUUCCCUCAGGAGUGUGUGCUGGCUUGCUUUAUGUCAGCUCGUCACGGACCUGAGUCACGGAAAGAGGGCCUCUCAGUUGAGAAACGCCUCCUGUAGAGUUUGUGGCAGUUAGAGAGGGUCGAACUUGCAGGAAGAGAAUCCUUUUGUACCAAGGUGAGUUUCAACCCUGCUGCGAAGUUUGGAACAUUUCUCAAGAUCAUGCCCAGAAGUACCGACUUACCAGGGCUGCAAGCUGAAGUUACCAUACAGCCGUGGUAGAAUGCACUACAGGCAAUCCUAAACAUGCACCUUUGGAUUGUGCUUAGGGAUAGUGCUAAUAUCACUUGAGGAAUUCUGGCCAUGAAUGCUGCGAUGGAUCUGUUUCUCUCCACCAAGUUCUUCCAUUAAAGCUCUGGGGUAUGAAGACAGCCUCUCUCUGUAGGCUGUAAUGAUGGGGCUGCCUGAGGCCAACAUGGCUCCAGACACACUCUAAGGUAUCUUAAGCCUGCACAGCAGUCACGAGUGGCGGAUGAGUUCAUGCCUGAUCAUGCGUUUAAAAUCCCAGCUAAUAAACAUUGGUGCCUCAAGGAGCCAAGAUUUCACCUUAACGGCCAAAGGAACUGAACUCAAGAGACUCUACACUGACUUGUGGUUUGAAAAUGGGAUAUGAGCUAUUUAUAUACGCAGCCAAGUAAAAUGUAACCUGACAGCCAUUAAAUAUAUCUAGUUAAGC
Molecule: long non-coding RNA, 1480 nt
Organism: Mus musculus (house mouse)
Lineage: Eukaryota; Metazoa; Chordata; Mammalia; Rodentia; Muridae
Product: predicted gene 10782
Exons: 4
Source: RefSeq, marked validated